AAUCGAACUCCCAACCCUGGGCUCCUAACUCAUUGAGCUACACAGCCAGCUAUGUCUACAUUAUUACAUUAUUCUUUGUCCUCUUUUUCUUCCUCCCUGCUUGGAAGGAUGGGCCAAAGCAAGAUGGGAUUUACAAGCUGGUAUACAUUCCCAGGGCCCACUUAUGGCUGUCAGCGUUAGCAUGUCUUCAGGUCUUCAGAGAUGAGGUCAUGAACAGGCAGAGACAAGCAAAUUAAGCUACAAUCCAAUAUUUAAAAAGAUUAAAAGGGGAGGCUGCUUUGCUUCAGCUGUUUUAGUGUCUUGGAUGCUUUUCUUCCUCUUUCCCCACACAGAGCAGCUUUUGCCUAAUGUGGUUUGACAGUGAACUUCGAAGGCUGUCAGGUGGUGACAUCUUUCAGGGUAUCAAGCAUCACAUGGGCUUAUUGUAACUGGUGGGCUCACUCUCCAUUCCAGUCAAGUUAGGGGCAAGACGCAAAAUUUGAUCAUCUUCAGAAGAUGUGUGCCUGUGUGCGCACAUGCGCAAGCAAGCAAGCAUAGACCUACAUGUGUGUUUCCUUACUGCUAUGAUGAGGAGAUUUCAAAAAGGAUUAUGGUUUCAUAAAAUCACAAAUCAUUUAGCUGUGCUAUGGGAUGUCUUCCACACACACCUGCUGGUUAUCUCUGGUGGCUGCCUGGCUAUCUAGAAAUCUGACUGUCACACAGCAAACUCUGAACUAUUUAUGACUGCAGCAGCUUCCAAAAUCUAUAAAUAGAUGGCAUUGGAGCCUUGUUUUUCUCUCUACUUCUGCACAUCUCCCUCUGUUUACUUCUGCCUGUCUGUUUUUCUGUCAUCAAGUGCUUGGAUAGAAGCUGUUUAUUUCUGCGUACUACAUCAAAAGCAGAGUUCAAAAGUAACCAGUAAUUAUGUGCAGGGGAGCUGUACACGGUUACAGUCUUUCUACCUGAAAAAGCCCUUCACAUUUUCCUCCUAUGGAAGCACCAGAACUAUUAUAUCAACUGAGAAAAAAAGAAAAGAAAACCAAAACAAAACAAAACACCAGGCAGCAAACAGCAAAUUCCAUGACCUCUACUGCUGACAGAAAUCAAGUGCUCAGGAAGCUCAAAACCCAUCCAAGGCUCUCAUAUAAUAAGAAUAUGGAGCACUCACAGCAUGUUUUGAGUGUUCAAAGUCUUUCUGGGUUAAUGGCAUGGUUGAAGGUGCAGGAGUCAAAGAAAAUGUUUCUCUAGGUCUUUAAGCAUGUGUUUAGGCUGCUGUAUUUACCAAAGGAAAAAUGACUUCAAGCUGAAUUAAGUAAGUUGAAUUUUGUGAUGUAUGCAGUUAAAACUAAUUAUACCCAUUGCCUCACCUACUCUUAAUCUCUCAGCCCUUCUCUAUUUUCCUCCUUUUUUCCUCUUCCUCUUCCAAUAGUCAAGGAUCAAAAUUACACACAUUCAAAAUUGUCAUAUUCCACUUCAGUUUCCAGACUUCUCCUAACAUCCCCCAUUCUGGAGAUCUUUUUCCUCAACCUUUGCCCCAAAUACAACAUCAUACCUUGUUCAUUAGGAGGGAUGAAU
Molecule: long non-coding RNA, 1554 nt
Organism: Pogona vitticeps (central bearded dragon)
Lineage: Eukaryota; Metazoa; Chordata; Lepidosauria; Squamata; Agamidae
Source: Ensembl